UGCUAUUUACAGAAAUUACCGGGGCCGGGGUUCAACUCUUCCCAAUGAUCAAAGUUACCACGAUGCUUUCACCAAAGUUACCACGCCUUCAGUGCUUAUGACCAUGCUACUUACACAAUGUACCGCGUGGUGUACAAACGUUAUCAUGUUGGUGGUGCGUCAUUUAUCGUGGUGGUGAUGGAGAAUUUACCACGGGAAAAAUUUAUGUGCCAGGUUUGUAGGUGAAACAAAAGUUUUUCAGUGCUAAAAUAUUAAAGGCAAAACAUGUCAAAAAUAGUCUUUUCCUUAGCCUGUUCAACGAUGAGUGUCAUAGGUGAGGUGGUUAGCUCCCUUUGUUGAUUACCUGCAGACCAAAGAUCAAAUCCCAACCCAAGCAUUAUUUUUGCCCGAAAAUUGGGAAGGCGUGCGGGAAAGGAAGGAGAUCGGGAGGAAAGGAAGGAGAUCGGGAGGACGUGCGGGAAAGGAAGGAGAUCGGGAGGGCGGCCAGAACUGACGGUGUUGGAUGCGUGUUGCAGUUUUGCAAUCUGCCACACGGUUGCCACUUACAUAUUUCGUUAAAAAAAUGUUACAGGUGUAUUAGAAAAUGUUCUUGACGCAUACAAAAAUUGUAGAAUGGAAACCAAAAGGAACCAAAAAAUAAACAAAAAGGUCAAAAAAUAUAUAAUGAGAAAUAAAACCGAAGAAAGAAAUGCAAAAAGUAUGGGGAAACCGGUAAAACUCAUAAAGAAAGAAAGAAAAUUAAAAAACAUUGAAAACUAAGAAAACCAAAAGAAAAAAAGAAAAGAAAAAGAGAAGAAUUGAAAGAAAACGGAUGAAAAACAAAGAAGGAAAGAAAAGAAAAGAAAGAAAGAAAGUGAAAACCGAAAAGAAAGGAAGAGAAACUUUAAAAAAAGAAAAACCGGAGAAACUAGUGAGAAAACAAGAAAAACUAAAAAAAUAGCAAAACCAAUGAAGGAAGCUCAACUAGCAAAGGAACUCGAUAGAAAACUAGCCCAGCGAACGAGCGAAGGAAGUGCAGCGAGCGAUCGCGAACGAAAGAAAAAAGCAAAACUUGGCCGGCCUGAUAACUUCGUUGCAGAGCAAAGAUCUUCAGAGCAUCUCUAGCAGACCCUGAAUCCCGCCGACCCGCAAAACGCGUUUGCAGUUCGCGGAAAACGCGUUUUAAGGGUCGGUUUUUGCCGCGGCAGAACAGACCCCUCAAACUUAAACUGUAAAACGGAAUAUUCGCUUAUAUUCUGUCUUCUUCUUCCUCUCGUCCAUGUCCAUGGUCAGCUAGCUUGCUCCCGCAAAACCGACGAAUAACACACGAAGCGGUAAAAAUGGAGCCGCAGGAUCCAUCCAUUAGCUAACUAGCUCUGCUCGAAUCGAUCGAGAGCUACCUGCUAGCUCUGCUCGAAUCCAUCAAUCGGAUUUCGGGUUCCGCAGACCCUUGAGAGGUUCGAACUCUAGGGUGCGCACGAAGAGCACUCUCUCCCCAGUCUGCACACUCAACGAUUCCACGGCCUAGCUCGAUGAACCCAAAGAACAAGUGACACGGGGGUUUAUACUGGUUCGGGCCACCUUGCGGUGUAAUACCCUACUCCAGUUUUGUGGUGGAUUGCCUCGAGGGGCUGAGGAUGAACUAGUACAGUGGAUGAACGACCUCAGGAGGUGAGGUGUUCUUGAGCUCGAUGAGCUGGUGAGAUGGCCUUGGUGGAAUGGAUCCAGUCCAAGAUGAGAUGCCCCCUAUGGUGGUGGCUAAGUCCUAUUUAUAGUGGCCUUGGUCCUCUUCCCAAAUGUAGGCGGGAAGGGAUCCCACAACGGCCAAGUUUGAAGGGAGACAACUAGUGCAAGCUAUCCUGACAAAAGUAGUCUUCGCCUGCCAAAGGCUGUGGUGGUGACGCCGUUAUGGGCUCCGCGAUGACCUCCGUCCUGCCGUCCUGGUGGUCUUGGUCUUGUUGCACCGAUAAGUAAACCUUUGCUUGAUUCCUCGGAACUCCGCGCCUACGCUUGUCUCCUUAGCACCAAAGAGGAAACUGGUACGCUGCACUCGCUGGCGCCCGCCUGGCCUUGGUCGUCAUGGCUCAUGUCAAGUGAACCUCACGAGGUGCGCCUUGCAUAGAUAUCUCCGCUCCCCGGGAGCCAGCCUAGCGAGGCCGCCCCCAGGGAGGUCUUGGUGUCGUCCGCCUCGCGAGGCUUGACCCCUCGCGAGGGUCUUGAGGUGUUGCUGCUAAAGCUGGGCCGUACCGGGCCGUUGAUGGAGCCACGCCUUGGGCCGCAGACAGGCACGUCUGGGUACCCCCAUUCCCAGGACGCCGACAGUAGCCCCCGGGCCCAAGGCGCGCUCGGGCUUGGCUUCGAGACGAAGCCAAUGGGCAAGUGCGGAGCACCGCGGGCCCCAACCUCCUGCGGCCUCGGUCGACGCUUGGCGAUUGAUGGGACGUGGGCGCCUCCACUUCCCCAUGAUGCCUCAGCAACCGUUCUCGCCUGACAAAAAGGCUGGCGCAUGCUGCAGAGCCUUCAUUGCCUUCCUUCGUCUUGCUCCAGAUCCCCUUUCUCUUUCUCGCUCCAAAGACUCCUAAUCCGCCGAAAAUUCUCCCCGAGCCCGCAGCCGAUGGCGUCCGACAAGGCGAAGGCCGUGCGCUCGCCCUCCUGGUUCGAGCCUGCCUUGAGCGCGCCUACGGUCACGGGGAAGAACCUCGCCGUCGCGCUCCUGAUGACGGCGGCCAGCAGCAACGAGGGCAGAGUCCGCGCUCCGGGCCGGUUCCGCUGAGCCAGAGGCCUCGGGCAGCACCUUCUAUCCUUUCUUCAUGCACAACGUCUUCACGGGGCUGGUCCCUUCUUUAUCUGACUUCUUCUAUGCCGUCCUCAGCCAUUCCAAUCUCCAUGCCCUCCAUCUUCAUCCCAACUCCGUCCUCCUUUUGUCGAUCUUUGCCUUUUACUGCGAGGCAUUCGUGGGGGUGAUGUCGUCCGUGGCGCUGCUUUGCCACUUCUUCUACCUUCGGAACAAGGAGGGCCAGUGCUCGGGGUGCGCCAAUUUCGUUGCGGCCAACGGGACCAACGCAAUCUCAAGAGCCGGGAAGAAGGUUGAGGGCUUCAGGAACAAGUGGGUCCUCAUCGAUGCCAAGAUCUCCUACCCUCGGCUGGCGCUGCCGACGGGGAUGCCUUCGCAUCACGAGGUGUGGCUCAGCGCAAAGCUUGCCGGCCCCCGGGCGAAGCAGGUGCUCGAGAAGAUGGCGGCCGACCUGAAGCCAGACGACCCGAAGGCGGAGAAGCUGAUGGGGGCCAUGAUCGUCAAGGAAUUUCUGUCGCAGCACUUGGCUCCACUCCAGGCGCGCUCGCGCCCCCUGUGGAGGCUCAUGGAAGAGGGAGGCAACCUCCUCCUGCAUCCGGACGCCUUGUCCGACGAGGAGCUGGACAAGGCCCUCCAUCUCCUGGUUGGGGAGGACCAGGGGUACCCGCCGGAUACCCAUCUUCCGCUGUACCGCCGCCCAGAUGGGGCGGAGGUCGCCGCCGCCAUGCCCGUCUUUAACGAGCGCGGGCUCGUGCCGCCAGCGCCCGUUGAGGCCCCGGUGGUGCUGUCCUCCGGCGAGCCCAGUGAGGAGGAGGGGUCGGACUUGGAGGCUACCCAGGAGGGGGCGGGGGAGACUUCUCCUCCGCGCGUGGCCGAUCUCCUGCGCACCUUCCCCGACGACGACGCCGACGAGCAUCUGGCGAGGGAGUCACUGCACCCCGCCGGGGUCACCACGAGGUCGAAGGGCACCCCCUCAAAGAAGCCGCAGGCCGGGGUCCCAAAGAAAAGCAGAUCAGCGCGGAUCUCCCAAGACGGUGCUUCUGCUUCGGCGUCGGCUGGUGCUGCUGCGAAUCCUGCCGCCGUGCCUUUGUCUGCUCCUAGGGCUCGCACGCCGGUGCCCCAGGCCGCGAAGCCUUCGGGCUUGGUGCUUCAGAAGAGGGUGAGGGAGUACGCCGCCGUGGACCAGUAAGUGCUCCACCCUGAUUCUUGUCCCUGUUUCUGCCGUUGUUUCUUGAUGCUUCUCCCUUGUACUGUCAGGCCAACGCUGGCGAAGAAGAAGAAGGAGACGGCCGCGACUCCUGGGGCCCGGCAGCCUGCCGCGGUUGCGCCACCUCUGGUGUGGAAGGACGGCGAUGGCUCUCGCGCCUCAGCGGCUGGGUCAUCCUCGCGAGAUUCAGAGGCCCGGCCUUAGAAGAAGGCGACCUCCAUGGCCCAGCCGGCUCCGAAGGCGCCCGCCCCCAGCUCGCCUGCUGAGGCUCCGAUGGCUCAGGAGGCCCCGGCCUCUUCUGCUGCCACCAACUUGCAGGUCUUGGCGGCGAUGCUGCCUCCUCCUCUCCCCAUCACGCCGCUGGGCCGUGAUCCUUCUGCUUUGCCUGACGCUCUGGAGGAGGCUCUUUCCACGCUGACCCAGCUUCGGGACGACCUUCAAGGCACCGACCGUCGCCUGGCGUUGGGGCGCCUGUAGUUGAUCUUGGGAUGGUUGCGAUCCGACGCGUCCGUCUGGGCGGCGGCAUGGAGCCAAGCCAUAGAAGCCUCCGAGGAAGGUGAGCGGGCCGUCGGCCUGGCCGCGACCGCCCGUGACGCAGCGCUGAAGGAUGUUGUGGCUGCCAAGGAGCGCUGCCGGUUGGCGGAGGCCGAGCUGGAGACUAUGCGCAAUGAGCGCAUCGUCGAGGCUCGGCAGCACGAGGCGUGGGAGGAGAAGAUGAAGGCUCGAGAAGACGCGGUUGCCCGUCGUGACACUGAGCUGGAGCAAUCGGCACGGGCGCAGGCCGCGGAGUGCGGCCGCCUGGAGAAGCUGAAGGAGAAGGUGGAGGCGGAGAAGGCCCAGCUGGAAGCCAAGGCGAAGGUUCUUGUCGAAGAUCAUGUAGCCUUCAAUUCCCUUGAGCUGCAGUCCCGCAAGGCACUGCAGGAGCUCUAUGGGAGGGGUUUGAAGAAGCCAUUUAUGACUGCUGAGGAAGGCCCCGCCGAGCUACUCCCCCAGCUUGCCACGACACUCGAGGGCGUCGUUAAUGGGGUCGGCCCCAUGGUGGAAGGGGAAGCCCACGCGCUCUCCUCCUCGGCUCUGACGCGCGUCUUCAGCCAGCUUCGUCUUCGCGACCCUGGCAUCGACCUCGGCGCUCUGCUUGAGCCUGUGGACGAGGAGCACUGCGCAGCCGCCGCCGAAGCCGUGAAGGACCGGGUGGACGCCCUACUGGAGAAGUUCCUCGCCAUCGACCCCGCGCCUCCGUCUGAUGGUGCCGCUGAUGCUACGGCCACAGCCGACGGCACGGGCAACGGCGACGUUGCCGACGAAGGAGUACCCCUUGCAGGCGACGGCAGCGCCCAAGGCUGAUGAGAAGGCUCGCUGGCGGCGCUUCCCUCUGCUUUUAUUUCCUGCCACAUGCAUUGUGCCUCGUGGAGGCGUUAAAACUUAUGCUUGGUAUUCGGAGAAACAAUAUGUCUUAUAAUAAUUUGUUAGGAUUCUGCGAUUUCCUUCCCGUUGCCUUAGUGUUCUGCAUCGGCAGGGCCCGGCCCCGCGCAUGCCUCAGCCACCGCCAGGACGAGACCAAGGGGUGAGGGGCUACGUGACCAGUUAGGCUCCUAAGGCGCGAUGCUCAGGAGUCCCCCUUGACGUACAAAUAGCCUUCGGGAAGGAGAUGCGAGAGUAGGCCUUAGCGUUCUGCGUCGGCAGGGCCCGGCCCCGUGUAUGCCUUAGCCGUCGUUGGGUCGUUCGGAUCGCCAGGACAAGACCAAGGGGUGAGGGGCUACGUGGCCAGUUAGGCCCUUGGGUCACACGAUGCCCAAGGGUCCCCCUUGACGUACGAAUAGACCCCAUACCUGUCCUCGCUGGUCUCUCGCGCGGGAGGGUUGCGCGAAGGCCAAGUCCGAAGGACAUGGCGAGGUGGCGUACGCCAGGCGUGACCUGAGCGUAGCCCCCGUGCCCAGCCCCCUUGCGCUACUCUCCCGAGGGGAAAGCAGCGCGGUGAGGCUAGUCACCGAGCCUGGUGGCUCCCUGAGGUUAUUGCAGCCGUGAGGCCACCCUCAGUUGUUGAUCACCAGCGCGUAGCAUGGCGCUACCGUUUUUGCACGGGCAUAGCCGCUCCUCGGUCGUGUCGACUGCCAGCGCGGAGCAUGGUGUUUCCACUGGUACGUGGGAGGGGGCUCCCUCUGAGGAGAGCCCCCGGGGCGUGUACAGCCCCGCCCUGACACAUGGCUUGUGAUAGGUCUCCGUCGUAUCUAUAAUUUUUUAUUGUUCCAUGCCAAUAUUAUACAACUUCCAUAUACUUUUUGGCAACUUUUUAUACUAUUUUUGGGACUAACAUAUUGAUCCAAUGCCCAGUGCCAGUUCCUGUUUGUUGCAUGUUUUUGUUUCGCAGAAUAUCCAUAUCAAACGGAGUCCAAACGGGAUAAAAACAGACGGAGAUUAUUUUUGGAAUAUUCGGAGAAUAUGGGAAGGAAAAUCCACGCAAGACGGUGCUCGAGGGAGGCACGACGCAGGGGGGCGCGCCCCACCCCCCUGGGCGUGCCCCUGACCCUCGUGGGCCCCCCGUAAGGCGGUUGAUGCCCUUCUUCGGCCGCAAGAAAGCUAAUUUUGGGGGAAAAAUCACGGCGAUGGUUUCAGUCCAAUCGGAGUUACGGAUCUCCAUAUAUAUACGAAACGGUGAAAGGGCAGCAGACCAGAGCGCAGAAACAGAGAGAGACAGAGAGACAGAUCCAAUCUCGGAGGGGCUCUCACCCCUCCCAUGCCAUGGAGGCCAAGGACCAGAGGGGAAACCCUUCUCCCAUCUAGGGAGGAGGUCAAGGAAGAAGAAGAAGAAGAAGGGGCCCCCUCUCCCCUUCUCUUCCGGUGGCGCCGGAACGCUGCCGUGCCCACCAUCAUCAUCGCCGCAAUCUUCACCAACAACUUCACCGCCAUCAUCACCAACUCUUCCCCCCUCUAUGCAGCGGUGUAACCUCUCUCUUACCCGCUGUAAUCUCUACUUAAACAUGGUGCUCAACGCUAUAUAUUAUUUCCCAAUGAUGUAUGGCUAUCCUAUGAUGUUUGAGUAGAUCCGUUUUGUCCUACGGGUUAUUUGAUGAUCAAGAUUGGUUUGAGUUGCAUGUUUUAUUAUUGGUGCUGUCCUAUGGUGCUCUCCGUGUCGCGCAAGCGUGAGGGAUCCCCGCUGUAGGGUGUUGCAAUACGUUCAUGAUUCGCUUAUAGUGGGUUGCAUGAGUGACUGAAACACAAACCCGAGUAAGGGGGUUGUUGCGUAUGGGAUAAAGAGGACUUGAUGCUUUAAUGCUCUGGUUGGGUUUUACCUUAAUGAUCUUUAAUAGUUGUGGAUGCUUUCUAGAGUUCCAAUCAUAAGUGCAUAUGAUCCAAGUAGAGAAAGUAUGUUAGCUUAUGCCUCUCCCUCAAAUAAAAUUGCAAUAAUGAUUACCGGUCUAGUUAUCGAUUGCCUAGGGACAAAUAACUUUCUCGUAACAAAAAGCUCUUUACUAAAACUAAUUAGUUGUGUCUUUAUCUAAACAGCCCCUACCUUUUAUUUACGCUCUCUUUAUAUUCUUGCAAACCUAUCUAAAAACACCUACAAAGUACUUCUAGUUUCAUACUUGUUCUAGGUAAAGCGAACGUUAAGCGUGCGUAGAGUUGUAUCGGUGGUCGAUAGAACUUGAGGGAAUAUUUGUUCUACCUUUAGCUCCUCGUUGGGUUCGACACUCUUACUUAUCGAAAGAGGCUACAAUUGAUCCCCUAUACUUGUGGGUUAUCAAGACCUUUUUCUGGCACCGUAGCCGGGGAGCAAUAGCGUGGGGUGAAUAUUCUCGUGUGUGCUUGUUUGCUUUAUCUCUAAGUAAUUUUUAUUUGCUGUUCUUAGUUGUUCUCUAUCUUUAGUUAUGGAUAUGGAACAUGAAAUACCAAAAAAAUUAGGUGUACUUGCUACUCUUGGAGAUGGGGAACCUCCUAAAACCCUUGAUGAUCAUUAUGUGAAAAAUAUUUUGUACCACUUUGAUAAUCCUGAGAAAACCUCAUUCAAUUAUGUAAUGGGAGACACGUUGGACCAACGUGAAUACUUUAGGGAUUAUCGCUUGACUCAAAAAGGGAAACUAUUAUGGGAUCAAAUUUAUAUGUUGAAGUGGUAUGCUCGGCAAGUAUGCUUGAGAUAUGAUUAUACUUGUUGCUCUAGGAUGAAGGCUCCACACCUUCCCUUUUCAUGCAAAUUUAAUGAUAAUGAAACCUUGGCUUCUUAUGCUAGAGGUAUAUAUGAUUACUAUGAUGUGGAACAAAUAGAAGAAUUUGUUGCUUUUAAGGGUGCUUAUGAAAUUGAAUUUUUGGUUGAAAAGUACGAAGCUUUUGAUGAUGAUGUUUAUAGGCCUGAAAAUUUUUCUAUAUUGAAAUAUUGUUAUGAGAAUUAUGAAUACAAUUCCGAUAUUGAUGCAUUUAUUGAGAAAGUCUCCACUGUCCAAGAAGAGACUAAUAUUUUGCAUGAGUCUAUGGAAGAAGAAAUUGAAGAAACUGUGAGCUCAUUGGAUGAAAAAGAUGAUGAGGAGAGCGAAGAACAAAAGGAGGAAGAGCGGAUUAGCUACCCGUGCCCACCUUCUAAUGAGAGUAACUCUUCAACUCAUACAUUGUUUAAUUCCCCUUAUUGCACCCACGCAUGAUAGUCCUAUUAUCUUUUUGAAUUCUCCCGACUACACUAUAUCGAAGAAGUUUGCACUUAUUAAGGAUUACAUUGAUGGGUUGCCUUUUACCGUUGCACAUGAUGAUUUUGAUGAAUAUAAUAUACAUGUGCUUGCUGCUCCUACUUGAAAUUAUUAUGAGAGAGGAACUAUAUCUCCACCUCUCUAUGUUUCCAACACGAUAAAAUUGCAAGAAACUGUUUAUACUAUGCAUUGGCCUUUACUAUGUGUGCAUGAAUUGUUCUUUUAUGACAUGCCGAUGGAUAGGAAGAGAGUUAGACUUCGUUGUUGCAUGAUAUAUGUUGCCUUGUGCUCACUACUAAAUGCCAAAUCAUUGCUAAUUAAAAUAGGCUUUGAUAUACCUUGGGAUCCGGGUGGAUUCACUACUUGAGCACUAUAUGCGCAGCUUAAUGCCUUUAAAGAAAGCGCUGCCAGGGAGACAACCCGGAAGUUAUAGAGAGUCAUUUAUUUCUGUUGAGUGCUUUUACAUAGUUUAAAAACAAAAUAAAAUAAAGAGGGGAACCUAAAACUUUUUCAAAAAGAAAACUGAAAGUGAGAAAGACGAGCAUUGUUAAAGUGGGAGCUAGCCUUGAACUUUGUUCAUGCUCACGGAAACUUUGUGAAUCUUGAUUACAGAAACUUUUCACUAAAUAUAAUUAUCCCCUUGUACAAUUCCAUUGUAUUAUAAAAAUAAUGUGCCAAGGUUUGCCUUUAGGAUGUUUACAAUGCUUGUUGGUUUGUACGGUGCAGGACAGAAAUUUUGGCUGUAGUGCUCGAUUUUACAUUUUUUUACUGGAACGUCAAAUGGUUCUGAUUAUUUUUGCACUGUCUUUCUAUACAAAUUGCUUAUUUUUCCUAAUUUUAGCAGAAUUGUUCAAGUAUCAGAAGUAUCGUGAAUGUUCAGAUUAUUACAGACUGUUCUGUUUUAGACAGAUUCUGUUUUUGAUGCAUAGUUUGCUUCUUUUGAUGAAACUAUCGAUUUAUAUCAGUGGAUUAAGCCAUGAAAAAAUUAUAUUUCAGUAGCUACAAUGCCAAAACAAAAUAUGAAUUGGUUUGCAACAGUACUUAGAGUAGUGAUUUGCUUUAUUAUACUAACGGAUCUUACCAAGUUUUCUGUUGAAGUUUUGUGUGGAUGAAGUGUUCGAUGAUCGAGGAGGUCUCGAUGUGAGAAGAAGGAAGAGAGGCAAGAGCUCAAGAUUGGGGAUGCCCAAGGCACCCCAAGUAAAUAUUCAAGGAGACUCAAGCAUCUAAGCUUGGGGAUGCCCCGGAAGGCAUCCCCUCUUUCUUCAACAAGUAUCGGUAUGUUUUCAGAUUCGUUUCGUUCAUGCAAUAUGUGCAAGUCUUGGAGCGUCUUUUGCAUUUAGUUUUCAUUUUUCUUUUAUGCACCAUGCUGGUAUGAGAUAGUCCUUGGUUGAUUUAUAAGAAUGCUCUUUGCACUUCACUUAUAUCUUUUGAGUAUGGCUUUAUAGAAUGCUUCAUGUGCUUCACUUAUAUCAUUUGAAGUUUGGAUUGCCUGUUUCUCUUUACAAAGAAAACCGCCAUUUGUAGAAUGCUCUUUUGCUUCACUUAUAUUUGUUAGAGCGUGGGCAUAUCUUUUUUAGAAAUAAUUAAACUCUCUUGCUUCACUUAUAUCUAUUUAGAGAGAUGGCAGGAACUGGUCAUUCACAUGGUUAGUCAUAAAAUCCUACAUAAAACUUGUAGAUCACUGAAUAUGAUAUGUUUGAUUCCUUGCAAUAGUUUUGCGAUAUAAAGAUGGUGAUAUUAGACUCAUGAUAGUGGGUAGUUGUGGAUUAGUAGAAAUACUUGUGUUGAGGUUUGUGAUUCCCGUAGCAUGCACGUAUGGUGAACCGUUGUGUAACGAAGUCGGAGCAUGAGGUAUUUAUUGAUUGUCUUAUGAGUGGCGGUCGGGGACGAGCGAUGGUCUUUUCCUACCAAUCUAUCCCCCUAGGAGCAUGCGCGUAGUACUUUGUUUUGAUAACUAAUAGAUUUUUGCAAUAAGUAUGUGAGUUCUUUAUGACUAAUGUUGAUUCCAUGGAUUAUACGCACUCUCACCCUUCCACCAUUGCUAGCCUCUCUAGUACCGUGCAACUUUCGCCGGUACCAUAAACCCACCAUAUACCUUCCUCAAAACAGCCACCAUACCUACCUAUCAUGGCAUUUCCAUAGCCAUUCCGAGAUAUAUUGCCAUGCAACUUCCAUCAUCAUCAUAUACAUGACUCGAGCAUUCAUUAUCAUAUUGCUUUGCAUGAUCGUAAGAUAGCUAGCAUGAUAUUUUCAUGGCUUGUCCAUUUUUUGAUAUCAUUGCUACACUAGAUCAUUGCACAUCCCGGUACACCGCCGGAGGCAUUCAUAUAGAGUCAUAUCUUUGUUCUAGUAUCGAGUUGUAAUAUUGAGUUGUAAGUAAAUAAAAAGUGUGAUGAUCAUCAUUAUUAGAGCAUUGCCCCGGUGAGGAAAGGAUGAUGGAAACUAUGAUUCCCCCACAAGUCGGGAUGAGACUCCGGACUUUAAAAAUAAAUAAAAGAGGCCAAAGAAGCCAAAAAGAAGAGGCAAAACAAGCCCACCAAAAAAGGGGAAAAAAUAAAAGAGAAUAAAAAAAUGAGAGAAAAAGAGAGAAGGGACAAUGUUACUAUCCUUUUACCACACUUGUGCUUCAGAGUAGCACCAUGUUCUUCAUAUAGGGAGUCUCUUGAGUUAUCACUUUCAUAUACUAGUGGGAAUUUUCAUUAUAGAACUUGGCUUGUAUAUUCCGAUGAUGGGCUUCCUCAAACGCCCGAGGUCUUCAUGAGCAAGCAAGUUGGAUGCACACCCACUUAGAUUUCAGUCUGAGCUUUCAUACACUUAUAGCUCUUAGUGCAUCCUUUGCAUGGCAAUACCUACUCACAUUGAUAUCUAUUGAUGGGCAUCUCCAUAGCUCGUUAAUACGCCUAGUUGAUGUGAGACUAUCUUCUCCUUUUUGUAUUCUCCACAACCACCAUUCUAUUCCACCUAUAGUGCUAUGUCCAUGGCUCACGCUCAUGUAUUGCGUGAAAGUUGAAAAGGUUUGAGAACAUCAAAAGUAUGAAACAAUUGCUUGGCUUGUCCUCGGGUUUGUGCAUGAUUUGAAUAUUUUAUGUGGUGAAGAUGGAGCAUAGCCAGACUAUAUGAUUUUGUAGGGAUAACUUUUUUUGGGCAUGUUAUUUUGAAAAGACAUGAUUGCUUUAUUAGUAGGCUUGAAGUAUUAUUGUUUUUACAUCAAAUGAUAGACUAUUGCUUUGAAUCACUCGUGUCUUAAUAUUCAUGCCAUGAUUAGAUACAUGAUCAAGAUUAUGCUAGGUAGCAUUCCACAUCAAAAAUUAUCUUUUUUAUCAUUUACCUACUCGAGGACGAGCAGGAAUUAAGCUUGGGGAUGCUGAUACGUCUCCGUCGUAUCUAUAAUUUUUGAUUGUUCCAUGCCAAUAUUAUACAACUUUCAUAUACUUUUUGGCAACUUUUUAUACUAUUUUUGGGACUAACAUAUUGACCAGUGCCCAGUGCCAAUUCCUGUUUGUUGCGUGUUUUUGUUUCACAGAAUAUCCAUAUCAAACGGAGUCCAAACGGGAUAAAAAUGGAUGGAGAUUAUUUUUGGAAUAUUCGGAGAAUAUGGGAAGGAAAAUCCACGCGAGACGGUGCCCGAGGGAGGCACGAGGCAGGGGGCACGCCCCACCCCCCUGGGCGUGCCGAUGACCCUUAUGGGCCCCUCGUAAGGUGGUUGAUGCCCUUCUUUGAGCCGCAAGAAAGCUAAUUUUUGGGGAAAAAUCACGGCGAAGGUUUCAGUCCAAUCGGAGUUACGGAUCUCCAUAUAUAUACGAAACGGUGAAAGGGCAGCAGAAUGGAGGGCAGAAACAGAGAGAGACAGAGAGACAGAUCCAACCUCGGAGGGGCUCUCGCCCCUCCCAUGCCAUGGAGGCCAAGGACCAGAGGGCAAACCCUUCUCCCAUCUAGGGAGGAGGUCAAGGAAGAAGAAGAAGAAGGGGACCCUCUCCCCUUCUCUUCCGGUGGCGCCGGAACGCUGCCGUGGCCACCAUCAUCAUCACCGCAAUCUUCACCAACAACUUCACCACCAUCAUCACCAACUCUCCCCCCUCUAUGCAGCGUUGUAACCUCUCUCUUACCCGCUGUAAUCUCUACUUGAACAUGGUGCUCAACGCUAUAUAUUAUUUCCCAAUGAUGUAUGGCUAUCCUAUGAUGUUUGAGUAGAUCCGUUUUGUCCUAUGGGUUAUUUGAUGAUCAAGAUUGGUUUGAGUUGCAUGUUUUAUUAUUGGUGCUGUCCUAUGCUGCUCUCCGUGUCGCGCAAGCGUGAGUGAUCCCCGCUGUAGGGUGUUGCAAUAGGUUCAUGAUUCGCUUAUAGUGGGUUGCGUGAGUGACUGAAACACAAACCCGAGUAAGGGGGUUGUUGCGUAUGGGAUAAAGAGGACUCGAUGCUUUAAUGCUAUGGUUGGGUUUUACCUUAAUGAUCUUUAGUAGUUGCGGAUGCUUGCUAGAGUUCCAAUCAUAAGUGCAUAUGAUCCAAGUAGAGAAAGUAUGUUAGCUUAUGCCUCUCCCUCAAAUAAAAUUGCAAUAAUGAUUACCGGUCUAGUUAUCGAUUGCCUAGGGACAAAUAACUUUCUCGUAACAAAAAGCUCUUUACUAAAACUAAUUUAGUUGUGUCUUUAUCUAAACAGCCCCUACCUUUUAUUUACGCUCUCUUUAUAUUCUUGCAAACCUAUCUAAAAACACCUACAAAGUACUUCUAGUUUCAUACUUGUUCUAGGUAAAGCGAACGUUAAGCGUGCGUAGAGUUGUAUCGGUGGUCGAUAGAACUUGAGGGAAUAUUUGUUCUACCUUUAGCUCCUCAUUGGGUUCGACACUCUUACUUAUCGAAAGAGGCUACAAUUGAUCCCCUAUACUUGUGGGUUAUCAGCUUGCACGGCAGGGCUAGAGGAGGUGUGUCUGGGCACCCAUGAGCCAGCGCGGGACUCAUGGGGCCCUACCUCAAGGCGGGUUGCGCCUGGUCUUGAUUGAGAGCACUUGUAAUAAUCCUGCGAGAUGGUUAGGCAACGUGCGCCGAGUGAAUCCCUUGAGGCUACCACAUGAGAAGGCCAGACACCAAUGGCCCCAGGAAGUGACGUGAACGGGGCCUGCCCGCCAGACAGAGCUCAUCCGCUGGGUUUAUCGACGUUGCAGGGACGGACCCGAGCACGGACGUUGUGCCUAGUCUUCUCAUGCGGACAUCUUGAAGAAAGACAGCCGGCGCGCGGCUCCCAUAGCGACGAGGCACCGUGUCGUGCGCCCUCACUUAUCCAUCCGCGAUUAGCUCAUCCGAGGGCAAGACACCAAGGACCAUGGGAGGUGACGUACACGGGAGCUGGCCCGUGAGCCAGAGCUCAGCCUCUUGGGUUUAGCAACGCUACAGGGAAGGACCUGAGCACAGACACCGUGCCAGUCCUUAAUCAUGAGGCAGUCGUGGGUGGAUUUGCAAGGGUGUACGACGUUCAUGGCAACGAAGUACCGGACAUGCAGAUGAUAAUCAUAAAGCGACUGAUGGAAAGGGUAACGCUAGUUCAGGUAGAUGCAAGAAUGAUACAUGCCACAGGGAUGGACCCAUGCGGCCUGGGGAUGAUGCAGCCCGAGGGGCGCCCCCAACAAGGUAAAUUAAAGAUGCAAAAAGAUACAUGUCGCAGGGACAGACCCGUGCGACCUGGGAAAAAUGCAGCCCGAGGGGCGCCCCCAACUGAACAAACUGGAAAAUGUCACCUGGCACCGUUGCUGAAGGGAUGUUGGAAGCUGAAGACGCUUGUCGAAGAAGUCGCUCUUCACAAGCCGCCUGGGUCAUGAGCCUCAGGAGCCUCUGGGGGUCCGGGGGGGCUCAUGAAGAACUGUCGCCAUCUCCGUUAAGACCGCCUGGUGCCUGGUCUCCUGAGCUGCCAGGACGCGCCGCGGGUGGCGCUGGAAGGAGACAGCCGUGUUCAGCAGGCUAUAAGGCAUGCGAACGUAGUUGUGAGGGGGGCCCUCACACCGACCAACGCGCGAUGGCUAGAAGCGCUCCUGAGACGCAGCCCUGUUGAGCCCGAGGUAGUCGAUGCAGACGCGCAGCUCGCUGUCCUCGCCUGGACAAGGAGCUGCGCCAGGUGGUAGGCGGCGGUCGCCGCGCAUGGCUCUUGCCUCUUGAAGCUCCUCGGUCGUCUUGGUGAUGAACUCCUGAGCACCAGGCACCUCGUGCCUCGUGCCCUCAUGCGGGAAGCGUGCGAUGAAGCAUGCCCCCAUGUGGUGCCCGAGCGCCUCCCUCGUGACGUUGCCUAGUUCAGAGGCCCUCCAGAGGAGAGCCCCCGAGCCCAGCCUAAGAGGGGCGAUGGGCGCGCCUUCCUAUGCGAGGGAGGGAGGCACCCCAUUCGCGGACACAUGUCUUGAGGUGGUGCGGCUGGAGACUACGACUCCUAAGGCUUUUGGUUGAAAAGCUGCUUCUUCUUCUUGGGGACAGCCUCGGGAGGGUAGACGGCACCUUCGUUGUCCGGGUCCUCGACUUCCGCAGCCUAGUAGGCGCGCUCAAGGGAGCACACGGCGUCCUUCUCCUCGCAGGCGAUCUUGAUGAUGUCACGGCUCCCUGGCAUCUUGAGGACGUUGUAGCCAUGAUGGGUCACCGCCAUGAACUUGGCCAGGGCCGUAUACCAAGGAUGGCAUUGUACGGUAGGCAGAUGUGGGCGACGUCGAAGUCGAUGAGCUCGGUGCGGUAGUUGUCGUGUUGGCCGAAGGUGACAGGGAGGCGGAUCUGCCCUAUCGGGGUGGUGGAGCCGUCAGUCACUCCUGAGAAAGGCUUGGUGGGCUGUAGCUGAUCGUAUGGCACUUGGAGGCGGUCGAACGUCUCGAUGGAAAGGACAUUGAGCCCUGCACCACCAUCGAUGAGUGUCUUGGUGACAAGGACAUUGCUGAUGAUGGGUGAAUAGAGCAUAGGGAGGGCGCCGGCAGUGGUCGCGCACUUGAGCUGGUCGGACGAGCCAAAGGUGAUGGUGCACUUGGACCACCUAAGCGGGCACGUUGCCUCGAGCCUGGGGAGAGCCGCAUUCACCUCACGGGCGAACUGCUUGAAGAUGCACUGAGAGGCUGGGGCCUGAGCAUCACCCAAGAUGCAGGCGAUGGCGCGUGGCUCCUGGAAGCCCCCAACCCCCUCAUCCUGGUCGUCGUUCCUCCUUGGUGGUGGUGGCAGUGGAGGGAGGCCCACCUUGCCCUGAGGACGGUCCUCACGAGGCUGAUCCCUCCGGGCGUCCUCGCGAGGCUGGCCCUACCAGCGAUCCUCAUGAGGCUGGUCGCGCCACUCCUGGCGGGGACCGCGGUCGUCCCAGUGUCCUCCACUUCGUCCUCCUCCAUGGACGUAGCCUCGGUCGUUGCGCUCAGGGCGUCGACUGAAGCGCCCGUCGCGGAUGGCCCUGAGCUCUUGACAGUCGCUGGUGUUGUGGCUGUGCACGUUGUGGAAGGCGCAGAAUGGGCGACUGCCCUUGGAUGACUCCGGGUGGUCGAGGCCGCGCUUCAUCUCUGGCUCAGCCGCAAGCACGGCCGCUCCCUUGCGCUUCACAUCCUUGGCCCUGGCCUUCUUGUCUUCUGGGUCUGCAGCUGGGAGCUCAAGGAGGGAGAGGCGCCCUUCCUCAGCUCUCGCGCACUUGGUCGCCAUGUUGAACAUCUCCAGAGCCGUGCACAGGUCCUCGUGUAUGGCGAGCUCCUCUUUCAUCUUGACAUCAUGGACGCCAUCAGAGAAUGCGGAGAUGAUGGCCUCGUCUGUCACCUUGGGGAUCUUGAGGCGAACGUUGUUGAAGUGCUGGAUGUACUUCUGCAGGGUUUCCCCUGGCUGCUGCUUGAUGCGCCGCAGGUCACCCGCGGCAGGUGGGCAGUCGCGAGUACCCUGGAAGUUGGCGACGAAACGCUCACGCAUCUCGCCCUAGGAGGAGAUCCAUCCCGCGGGCAGGUCGAGGAGCCAUGAGCGCGCGCCGUCCUUGAGAGCCUUGGGAAACCAGUUCGCCAUGACCUUCUCGUCGCCGUUGGCCGCCUCGAUGCUUAGCUCAUAGAGCUGCAGGAACUCAGCAAGGUCGGGGGUGCCGUCGUAGCGCGGAGGCAGGUCGGGCUUGAACUUCCCGCGCUAGACGACGCUGCGCAGCUCGGGAGUAAAGGCACGGCAACCCGUUGUAGUCGCUGGAGCCCGUCGUGGAGGCGGAGCCUGGUCUUGGUACCCACGCGCCGCCACCGCAGGCGGCGCACGGUCUUGACGCGGUGGUGCCGGGAGCACGGGAGCAUCUUCUUGCGGCCACGGAACCUCGGCAGCUUCCUUCUUCACGCGCGGGCAUCCUACGCGGCAGGUCGUGCCGCGGGGCCGCGCGCCUUGGUGCGAGGGCGACGUCUUGACGGGGAGGUGGUGAAGGCGCUCCAUUGGCUACGUCGCCCGCGGCAGGCACCGGGCGAGGCAGCGAGAGAGACGGUGCGGGAGAACCCCCAGUGGCGCUGACGAGCUCGGUGAUGCGGUCCAGCCAGUCCUCGUAGAGGUCGUCGACGGGGCAGUAGCGCAGGAGCUCGCGCGCCAAGAGUAGCGAAGCCUGUGCGUCCGCAGGCCCACGACGAGCGUGGGACGACGAGCCGGCCGGAGUCAGCGACGGGGUGGUGGUACAUCCAUCCCGCCGCAUGGAGGGGUGCAGCGACGAAGCUUGUUGCUCGUGCCCGCCGUGCCAGUGGCAGCGUUGGCUGCGGGUGAUGGAGAGCGACGGGGAGGCCCGCCGACAGGCGCUGUCUGGGCGACGCGGGUGGCGAGAGCGGCUCGGCGCUCAGCGCGGGCUCGGCGAGCAUCAGCCAUGGAAGCAGUGGAGCGGUGCGUCGACUGACGAAGAAGAGGCUUCGGCACACCCCUACCUAGCGCGCCAAAUGUCGGAUUUUGGGUUCCGUAGACCCUUGAGAGGUUUGAACUCUGGGGUGCGCAUGAAUAACACUUUCUCCCCAGCCUGCUCACUCAACGAUUCCACGGCCUAACUCGACGAACCCAAAGAAUAGGUGACACGGGGGUUUAUACUAGUUUGGUCCACCUUGCGGUGUAAUACACUACUCCAGUUUUGUGGUGGAUUGCCUUGAGGGACUGAGGAUGAACUAGUAUAGUGGAUGAACGACCUCAGGAGGUGAGGUGUUCUUGAGCUCGAUGAGCUGGUGAGAUGGCCUUGGUGGAAUGGAUCCAGCCGAAGAUGAGAUGCCCCCUAUGGUGGUGGCUAAGUCCUAUUUAUAGUGGUCUUGGUCCUCUUCCCAAAUGUAGGCGGGAAGGGAUCCCACAACGGCCAAGUUUGAAGGAAGACAACUAGUACAAGCUAUCCUGACAAAAGUAGUCUUCGCCUACCAAAGGCUCUGGUGGUGACGUCGCUAUGGGCUCCGCGAUGACCUCCGUCCUGCCGUCUUGGUGGUCUUGGUCUUGUUGCACCGACAAGGAAACCUUUGCUUGAUUCCUCGGGACUCCGCGUCUGCGCUUGCCUCCUUAGCACCAAAGAGGAAACUGGUACGCUGCACCCGUUGGCGCCUGCCUGGCCUUGGUCGUCAUGGCUCACGUCAUGUGAACCUCGCGAGGUGCGCCUUGCAUAGAUAUCUCUGCUCCUUGGGAGCCAGCCUAGCUAGGCCACUCCCAGGGAGGUCUUGGUGUCGUCCGCCUCGCGAGGCUUGGCCCCUCGCGAGGGUCUUGAGCUGUUGCUACUGAAGCUGGGCCGUACCGGGCCGUUGAUGGAGCCACGCCUUGGGCCGCAGGCAGGCAAGUCUGGGUACCCCCAUUCCCUGGACGCCGACACCAUCCAGGAGCGAGCUAGCUAGCUAGCUCCUCCGUCACCGCGCGCUGCGGCCGGGGCGGACGACGCAGACGGGCGGGCGCGGUGGCCGGGUCGGACANNNNNNNNNNNNNNNNNNNNNNNNNNNNNNNNNNNNNNNNNNNNNNNNNNNNNNNNNNNNNNNNNNNNNNNNNNNNNNNNNNNNNNNNNNNNNNNNNNNNNNNNNNNNNNNNNNNNNNNNNNNNNNNNNNNNNNNNNNNNNNNNNNNNNNNNNNNNNNNNNNNNNNNNNNNNNNNNNNNNNNNNNNNNNNNNNNNNNNNNNNNNNNNNNNNNNNNNNNNNNNNNNNNNNNNNNNNNNNNNNNNNNNNNNNNNNNNNNNNNNNNNNNNNNNNNNNNNNNNNNNNNNNNNNNNNNNNNNNNNNNNNNNNNNNNNNNNNNNNNNNNNNNNNNNNNNNNNNNNNNNNNNNNNNNNNNNNNNNNNNNNNNNNNNNNNNNNNNNNNNNNNNNNNNNNNNNNNNNNNNNNNNNNNNNNNNNNNNNNNNNNNNNNNNNNNNNNNNCGGCCGGGCGGCCGGGCGAGCUUCAUGGUGUUGGCAGGAGCAGAGAUUUCUCAACCGCCCUGGAAAAGUUGCCUUCAAAACUGUAGAUACGAGGGUUUCGGCUUCGUAUUUACGGGGCCCCUUAAAAAAAUUAAGGGUCGGACGAUUUUAAAGGGUCUGUUCGGGCCCGUUUUUUCAACUGGAAUUGUAAAAAAUAGUUAUUUUGCGGGUUUAACCACUUAUGCGGGUCUGCUAGAGAUGCUCUCAGCGAGACAGAAGGAAGUCUCACUUAAGGCGAGAAAUAGUCAUCGCGUCUUAUUCAGGCGCAUCCGGGAGAUCCUCGUCAGUUCAUGAACAACAAGCAAUUGUCUUUUUGAACAUGAAUUAUAGCUUGAUGUAUAGCGGGGAACACUACGGUGCAACACACGUACAUAAUAGGAUUAAGAAAAAAUCCACAUUACUCUCUCUAUAUAUAUAUGUCAGUUUCUUCACGUAUAUCACAGUUAGAUAACCGGAGUGGGGAAGAACAGUGGUGCCGUAUGAUACGGGGCUAUCGCGUGUAUGCACAUAUCUAUACCGACUCUGCCCACAAAUGGAAAUAUAAAAAGUAGCAUUGAUGUGCGCUAGUGGGGAAUCCAGACUCUCUGGGAAGGCCUUAAUCCUGUUGAUUUCGACAUUCUACUUUACGUCCCCUGUUACUAAAUUCUAUUUCAGUAUUUUACCUUUAUGCUCGCAACCCGGUUUUCACCAUUUUACUACUAUGUUGGAUUUCCUACAACUUGCAGGCAUGGCUAUUUAAAAAGUAAAUGUGGAUGUCUGGGUAGUGCACCCACUAGAUUAAUUACACAUGUAAUCCGCCAACACUAAAUGCAAAUUUGCAACACACUUAUCUAUAUAUUAAAUGAGGGCAUAUCUUAGCAUGAUAUGGUCAGUCUUAUUAAUGCUUUAACAAAUAUACCAAUCUUAGAAAAUCAAUUUUAGCAAAAAAAAAGCCCGCGAGCAUUCAAUAUGGUUACCAGAUAUCGCAAGGCCAUCCAUAAGAUUUAAGAUCUUAUCCAACAAACUAAAUCUACAUGUAGAUUUGUUGGAUGGAGAGAUGUGGUAUUUAAGUGUGCUCACCACCAUAGCCCAUAUAAAAAACCAUGUGGUGUAGAAGUCUUGCAUAACCAAAGAUUGAUCAACACACCUGCCUAGUGUUAACAUCUUCCACAAGAAAGAUGGCUAGUUCUAAAGUAAUGUGGGUGUUCUGCCUCCUAGCUUUACUGGCUUUCACUUCUUGUUCUUAUCAUGUACGAGCAGAAGAUCAUGCCACCAAGGAGAAAAAUGAGGUGAUGGAGUAUUGCNNNNNNNNNNNNNNNNNNNNNNNNNNNNNNNNNNNNNNNNNNNNNNNNNNNNNNNNNNNNNNNNNNNNNNNNNNNNNNNNNNNNNNNNNNNNNNNNNNNNNNNNNNNNNNNNNNNNNNNNNNNNNNNNNNNNNNNNNNNNNNNNNNNNNNNNNNNNNNNNNNNNNNNNNNNNNNNNNNNNNNNNNNNNNNNNNNNNNNNNNNNNNNNNNNNNNNNNNNNNNNNNNNNNNNNNNNNNNNNNNNNNNNNNNNNNNNNNNNNNNNNNNNNNNNNNNNNNNNNNNNNNNNNNNNNNNNNNNNNNNNNNNNNNNNNNNNNNNNNNNNNNNNNNNNNNNNNNNNNNNNNNNNNNNNNNNNNNNNNNNNNNNNNNNNNNNNNNNNNNNNNNNNNNNNNNNNNNNNNNNNNNNNNNNNNNNNNNNNNNNNUGUAAUUUCCAAGCUUAUCUUCAUGAGAUUAAUUACUUACGAGGAACACAAUGUCAUAUGUAGGUUUCAUCGUUCCAGAUUAUAGUGCGCCACCACCUCCAGAACACUAAUCGUAAGGCCGGUACGGUCAAAUUAGGAGAGGAGUGUUAUAAUAUGGAGCACUUAGUCUAAGGCAAUCUUAUCGAACAAAGGAAGGGAUGCUAUGAUAUUGAUGCUUUAUCAUAGGACCUCUGCAAUAAUGUAUCUUACUUUUAAUUUUAUGACUAAUAAAAGGACUGCCCGCAUGUUCUCUUUGUGUUUAGCAUGAUAUUUAGUUGUCCAUCGACAUACAUGGCCUCAACCAAUGACUUUCAAUUCUGAUAAAAUAGACUGCUGAAUUAAAUCCAAAGUCUUGUAAACAAACAUAGCUUGUUCUAUUCAUAAUAAUCACUAUAAUAAACACUAAUAAAAAAUUGUGUUUGUCGAAUGGCAUGGUCUUUGCCGAGCAUUUUACGGGAUAUUGGUUGACCACCUAUUUGUCGAGAACCACACUCGGUAAAAUCAAGCACUUGAUAGAGUCUUUAGUUCGUCGAGAGCUGUGAGAAAAAUACUCGGCAACCCCAAAACACUCGGCCAAUGCAACUUUUGAUGAGAGCUCGUGACAUAGUACUCGACAACUAGGAGCCAUGUGGCACAGUCGUCCAAGGUUUACGGCUCUGUGACACUAACGCGUCCCAAACACGAGGCUAUGAUUUGCCGGCAAUUUGGGACCUCUUAACCGGCGCCUUCAGCGUCGGUUGGUGUUUCCUACGCCCAUACGGUUGACGAUAUGGGCCGGCCCACCACAAGGCGAGGCGGAUAGCUCGCCAGCGCAUCUUCGUAUUCUUUUGUUGACCGGUUGACAGUUGACCAGUUGGCCAGUCAACCAUUGACUUUUGAAUUAAAAAACGAAAAGUUUUUCAAAAAUGUUCAUGCAUUUUGGAAAAAUAAACUAAAAAAAAAAGAAACCACAAAUUUGAAAAAAAAUCUCAUAAAUUUUGAAAAAAGUCCACGAAUUGGAAAAAAAAUUACCGAUACAUAUGGUCGCUAGCUUUUCCUCGAAAGAAAUUUUGAUAGUUAGCUUUGAAGAGUGACACAAUUUUGAGGGCCUAGCUUUAUUAAAAUUCUGAUCGCUAGCUUCGUUUGUGUUUUAGCACUGAUCGCUAGGUUCUUUUUUUCUUUCUUUUAGAUACCGAUCCCUAGCUUUGUUCUAACCUGUAGCCUACUAGCACAGACGAGCGGUUGAACAUAUAGGCCAGCCCACCCUGGCAGGAGUGUAGGACAUGCGGACGAGCUCGUUUUUUUUUUGGGGUUUUAACAAAUCAAAAUCAAACAAACAAUGAGGAAGUGAGGUGACUCUGACAUGAUACUUAGAUUUGAGACAAUAUCUCACAUCUAGAUGUAACAUAGACGGACACUAUUAAUAAUUACCAAAGAUCCCAUUGAUCUGAUUUGGCUGUUCAGAUGAAACCCGGUUUAAAUAAAAAAACCAGAUGGAUCGGGGGACAGAAAACGGUGGGAGGUGGGAACAUACGAGGGAGUUGAACGAAGGGGUUGGACGAAGGGGGUGAGACGCCAUGUUGAAAUGAAGGACGUGCACUUACAUGGGUUAUACUAUGUGUGUGUGUGAUAUUUGUUUCUCCCGUUGCAACACGGGUCAUAUUUGCUAUUAAUAAUAAAGGGGCUAUUUCUUCUUGCGGUACGUCACAUAAAUUGCCCCCAAAGUAACAAAAUAUUACCCACCAAUGCCAUAAUAUGAUAAAAAAAGUUUCACGGAGGGGAAUCCCCUGCCUGGGCCGGCCCAUGCAGUAGGGACCUCCUAUACUGUGCUCUGCGCGCGGGAGAAGACGCAACGUAUCCGUUUGGGAGGGCCCAUGUCUGGACGACCUGUUUAUUAAAUUUCAAUUGUAUUUCCCUUUUUCUUUCCAUUUUCCUUUUUUUUCUACUUUAAAUAAUUUGGGACUUCAAGAAGUUCUGAAAAUUUAAAAAAAAUGAGAAUUUCAAAAUAAAAAGUAUAAUAAACCAUAAAAUGUUUGUGCUUUCAAAAAAUGUUCGUGAUUUUGUAAAAGUUUGCCUGCCUAUUUAAACAAUGUUUGAAAUAUUGAAAACAAAUGCUCGGGAAAUCAAAAGUUCAUGAUUUUUUAAUAAGUUUAUCUAUUAAAAAAUGUUUAUGAAAUUGAACAAAAUUUCGCCAAUUCCAAAAAUGUUCAUGAAUGGUAAAAUAUCCUCAAAAUUCAAAAACUGAUUGUGACUUAGAAAAUAGUUUAUUCACUCACAAAAUGUUUGCUGUUUCAAAAAAUGAUCAUGCAUUUCAGAAAAUGUUUGUUCAAUUAAAAAAAAGUUCAUUAAAUAAAACAAUUGUGAAUUUCAAAAUUGUCCCACCAAUUUUCAACAAAAUGUUCGUCGAUUCAAGAAAUGUUCCACAGAAAAUUGUUUAAAAAUGUUCACAAUUUUAAAAAUUGAUUGCAAAUAGUAUAAAAUGUACAUAAAUUCAGAAAAUGUUCUUGAUUUUAGAAAACGUUUGAAAAUUUGUAUAAACGUUCACAAAUUUGAAAAAUAUUAUCAUGCCUAUUGGAGAUUAUGAUUUAUAUUUUUCUCCCGCUGCAACUCACGGGCCCUUUUGCUUGUAUUUUAUCAUGUAUAUAUGUUAGAUCUGUAUAGAAAAAACUGUUGACCAUGUAUUAAAAAUUGUUUAAUAUGUAUAGGAAAAAUGUUGACCUUGUAUUGGAAAAAUGUUAAUCUUGUAUUUAAAAAAUGUACAGGUGUAUUAGAAAAUGUUCUUGACGCAUACAAAAAUUGUAGAAUGAAAACCAAAAGGAACUAAUAAAUUAACAAAAAGGUCACAAAAAUAUAUAAUGAAAAAUAAAACCGAAGAAAGAAAUGCAAAAAGUAUGGGGAAAUAGGUAAAACUAAUAAGGAAAGAAAGAAAAAUAGAAUACAUUGAAAACCAAGAAAACCAAAAGAAAAAAGAAAAAAGAAAAUAAAAGAGAGAAGAAUUGAAAGAAAACGGAUGAAAAACAAAGAAGGAAAGAAAAGAAAAGAAAGAAAGAAAAAGUGAAAACCGAAAAGAAAGGAAGAGAAACUUUAAAAAAAUUGAGCCGCGGG
RNAcentral lists this long non-coding RNA (23824 nucleotides) under Triticum aestivum (bread wheat). RNAcentral's name for it is "long non-coding RNA (TAES_LNC028503)". The record is from RNAcentral. Lineage: Eukaryota; Viridiplantae; Streptophyta; Magnoliopsida; Poales; Poaceae.